This 690-nucleotide ribosomal RNA is filed under the name uncultured archaeon. RNAcentral describes it as "bacterial SSU rRNA". It matches the Rfam family "Archaeal small subunit ribosomal RNA", at positions 55 to 747 of the family's 1478-position model. The record is from RNAcentral.
GAGUUAAAUGUUCUUCGUGAACAUAGCGAACUGCUCAGUAACACGUGGAUAACCUACCCUUAGGACCGGAAUAACCCCGGGAAACUGGGGAUAAUACCGGAUAAGCCAUAGACGCUGGAAUGCCCUAUGGUUCAAAGCUCCGGCGCCUAAGGAUGGAUCUGCGGUCUAUCAGGUUGUAGUGGGUGUAACGUACCUACUAGCCGACGACGGAUACGGGUUGUGAGAGCAAGAGCCCGGAGAUGGAUUCUGAGACACGAAUCCAGGCCCUACGGGGUGCAGCAGGCGCGAACACUUUACAAUGCGGGAAACCGCGAUAAGGGAACCCCGAGUGCCAGCAUCAAAUGUUGGCUGUCCAGAUGAUUAAAAAUCAUUUGUUAGCAAGGGCCGGGCAAGACCGGUGCCAGCCGCCGCGGUAACACCGGCGGCCCGAGUGGUAGCCGUUUUUAUUGGGUCUAAAGGGUCCGUAGCCGGGCUGAUAAGUCCUUUGGGAAAUCUGGCAGCUUAACUGUCAGGCUUCUAAGGGAUACUGUCAGGCUUGGGACCGGAAGAGGUAAGGGGUACUCCAGGGGUAGGAGUGAAAUCUUGUAAUCCCUGGGGGACCAUCUGUGGCGAAGGCUCCUUACCAGAACGGGUCCCACGGUGAGGGACGAAAGCUAGGGGAGCAAACCGGAUUAGAUACCCGGGUAGUCC